GAUUCUUGUUUUCAGGUGGUGCUCCUCCGUUGAAGAAUUACCUGAUGAAAUUGGGGAGCUCAAGGAGUUAAGGUUGUUGGAUUUGACAGGUUGGCAAAAUCUAAGAAGGAUUCCUGUGAAUUUGAUUGCAAGGUUGAAGAAGUUAGAAGAACUGUUGAUCGGGGAUCAGAGCUUCAAGGGAUGGGAUGUUGUUGGAUGUGACAGCACAGAAGGAAUGAAUGCAAGCCUAACAGAACUAAGUUCGCUGUCUCAUUUAGCUGUAUUAUCAUUGAAGAUACCGAAGGUUGAAUGCAUUCCCAGAGAUUUUGUUUUUCCCAGCUUGCUCAAAUAUGAUAUAGUGUUAGGGGAUGGGUAUUCAGAAAGAGUAUACCCAACAAAAUUAUGUUUGGGUGAUAUCAGCGCCGCAUCCUUAAAUGCAAAGACAUUUGAGCAGUUGUUUCCUACUGUGUCUCAAAUUGGUUUUAGCAACGUUGAGGGUUUAGAAAAUAUAGUAUUGUCCUCUGAUCAGAUGACCACCCAUGGCCAUGGGUCGCGAAAGGACUUCUUUCAAAGAUUAGAAUAUGUAGAAGUGAGUGAUUGUGGGGAUAUUCGCACUCUGUUUCCAGCAAAAUGGCGGCAAGCUUUGAAAAAUCUGAGGAUUGUGGAAAUUGAAUGCUGCAAUUCAUUGGAAGAGGUAUUUGAAUUGGAUGAAGGAAUUAACGAGGAGAAGGAGCUGUCAUUUUUAACGGGGUUACGGCUGUACCGGUUACCUGAGCUCAAAUAUAUAUGGAAAGGGCCCACUAGACAUGUCAACCUCCAAAGUCUUACUUGUCUGGCGUUGGCGUCUCUUCACAAACUAACAUUUAUCUUUACACCGUCCCUCGCUCAAGGUCUUAUUCAUCUGGAAACACUACAUAUAGCAGAUUGUCUUGGAUUGAAGCAUCUUAUCAGAGAACAUGAUGAUGAAAUAAUUCCAGAGUCUCUUGACAAACUGACAUUUAUCUUUACACCGUCCCUCGCUCAAGGUCUUAUUCAUCUGGAAACACUACAUAUAGCAGAUUGUCCUGGAUUGAAGCAUCUUAUCAGAGAACAUGAUGAUGAAAUAAUUCCAGAGUCUCUUGGCUUCCCAAGAUUAAAAACUCUUUAACAUGUUUUCCCUGUCUCCGUGUCUCCAAGUUUUCAGAACCUGGAAGAGAUGGAGAUUCGUGAAGCUAACAAUUUAAAGCAAGUAUUUUACAGUGGAGAAGGAGAUGACAUCAUCGUCAAGUCUAAAAUUAAAGAUGGCAUCAUCGACUUCCCUCAGCUAAGAAAAUUGUCUCUUAUUUUCGUAUCAAGUUGCAGCUCUUUUGGUCCAAAGAAUUUUGCUGCCCAAUUGCCUUCUUUACAAGAGUUAACCAUUAAUGGCCACGAAGAAGGGGGUAAUUUGUUGGCACAGCUUCAAGUAUGUUCUUUAUAUUUCUCCAUUUUUUUUCUUUUCUAAUUUAAAUUGUCAACUUCAAUACAUUGUGAUAAUUUGUUCUAUCUUCCUCCAAAUUUCUAAAACCAAAGUAAUUGAUAAGUUCUUUAACCAUCCACUGAAUUUAAUUGAUGAUUUAAAUUGGCUUAGGAAGUUAGACAUCAAUUACUGUAAUGUAAUUUCUUAUUUCUUCCUUCAUAUUUCUAAAACUAAAGUAAUGGAUAAAUGGUAGCAAAUCCUUUAGCCAUCCACUGAAUUUAAAAGGAGUGAAAUUGAGGCUCUUCCGCCAAUUAAUGGAAAGUAUUUGGACAGGACGAUAAAGCUUCGUAUUUGGUUUUUUUUUUCUUCUAAACAAUUAGAGUUAAAAAGUAAAAAUUGAAACUUUUUUUUAAACACAAUAUUUUCUCAUUCAAAGAAAUUCAAAAGUACCAAAUUUGUAUUGAAUUCAAAAAACAUAUUGUUUUAAUAUUUUUUUUCAUUUUGUUUUACAAUUUGUUAUCACUUUUUUUAUGAAAAAAAUAAUUUAAAUGAUCAAUAAUCAAGCAUUUUUAUUAAAACAUUUUACUAAUAUGUAAAAUUCAAAUUAUUUUCUUUUUUAUUUUUAUUUUUGGAAAAUGUUAUAAUUUUUUUUAUUAUAAAUCGAAUAUAAAAAAUUAAUUUUUUUGAGUUAAUGAUUAUAAUUUUUUCAUGAUUGCUUUUAAUUUAACUAAUAUAAAAUAAUAGUUUAUAUUUAGAUUAUCAUAAAUAUAAAAAAAUAUGAUUUUAUAUUCCCACGACUUGUUGCGCUGUCUAUUUAUAUUUCUUGUUGAUAAAUAUUUCGGCAUUGGGGAUAAUUGGUUCAUCUAUUUAACAAAAUUAUAUAAUAGUUUCAAAGUGCACAAAAAUUAAUAGGAAUUAUAUCUAACAAAUUAUAUCUAACAAAAUUACUUUGGUACCCUUAUUUUCUUUUGAUGCAGGGGUUAACAAGUUUGGAAACAUUAAAGUUGUCCUCCCUGCGUGUGCCUGACUUGAGGUGUAUAUGGAAGGGUCUCCUGCCGAGCGAUUUGACUACUUUGAAGGUAAACAAGUGUAAGAGACUGACACAUGUAUUCACAGACAGCAUGAUUGCUAGUCUAGUUCAACUGGAAUUUCUAAAGAUAUCAAAUUGUGAGGAAUUGGAGCAAAUCAUUGCUAAGGAUAAUGAUGAUGAAAAUGAUCUCCAAUCUUCAUGCUUUCCUAAUUUGUGUCGACUUGUGAUCAGAGGAUGCAACAAGUUGAAGAGUCUCUUCCCGAUAGUCAUGGCUUCAGGUCUCAAAAAGCUCCAAGAACUUGAAGUAAGGGAAUCCUCUCAAUUAUUGGGAGUAUUUGGGCAGGAUGAUCAUGCUUCACCUGCCAAUCUUGAGAAGGAGAUGGUGCUCCCUGAUCUGCACAAGUUGUUGCUUGUACAAUUACCAAGCAUUUCCUCCUUUAGUCUCGGAUGUUCUAAUUUCUUGUUCCCUCAUUUGAAGAAGUUGAAGGUGGAUAGAUGUCCAAAGCUGUCCACAAGAAUUGGUACUACAUCAAAUGGUUCAAUGAGUGCUCAAUCAGAGGUGCUGUAUAUUUGACAUGAUUUCUUGCCUCUCGUUUAGUUUUAAAAGUGCACAAUAAUUACUAGGAAUUACAUCUAACAAAUCGGUACCCUUGUUUUCUUUUGAUGUAGGGGUUUAUGAAUUUGAAAGAAAUAUCUAUUGAAACUUGGAAGGAGUACAAGAUUAAUGCAGUUGGAUUUGGUAACUAAUAGAAGAGGUGGCAUGAACUUUCAUUGGUGAGUUUGGAAACAUUACACUUGAACUAUUGCCUGACAUGAGGUGUAUAUGGAAGGGCUCGUGCCGUGCAAUUUGACUACUUUGAAGUGAACGAGUGUAAGAGACUGACACAUGUAUUCACAGACAACAUGAUUGCUAGUCUAGUUCAACUGAAAGUUCUAGAGAUAUCAAAUUGUGAGAAUUGGAGCAAAUCAUUGCUAAGGAUAAUGAUGAUGAAAAUGAUCUCCAAUCUUCAUGCUUCCCUAAUUUGUAUCGACUUGAGAUCACAGGAUGCAACAAGUUGAAGAGUCUCUUCCCGAUAGCCAUGGCUUCAGGUCUCAAAAAGCUCCAAGAACUUGAAGUAAGGAAUCCUCUCAAUUAUUGGGUAUUUGGGCAGGAUAUCAUGCUUCACCUGCCAAUCUGAGAAGGAGUGGUGCUCCCUGAUCUGCACAAGUUGUUGCUUGUACAAUUACCAGCAUUUCCUCCUUUAGUCUCAGAUGUUCUAAUUUCUUGUUCCCUCAUUUGAAGAAGUUGGAGGUGCGUGAUGCCAAAGCUGACCAUAUAAUCUACUACAUCAAAUGACUCAAUGAGUGUUCAAUCAAGGUGCUGUGAUUUGACAUGAUUUCUUGCCUCUUGUUUAGUUUUAAAAGUGCACAAUAAUUACUAGGAAUUACAUCUAACAAAUCGGUACCCUUGUUUUCUUUUGAUGUAGGGGUUUAUGAAUUUGAAAGAAAUAUCUAUUGAAACUUGGAAGGAGUACAAGACUUAAUACAGGUUGGAAGUUUGGUAACUAUUAGAAGUGGUCGGCAUGAACUUUCAUUGGUGAGUUUGGAAACAUUACACUUGAACUUAUUGCCUGACAUGAGGUGUAUAUGGAAGGGUCUCGUGCCGUGCAAUUUGACUACUUUGAACGUGAACGAGUGUAAGAGACUGACACAUGUAUUCACAGACAACAUGAUUGCUAGUCUAGUUCAACUGAAGUUCUAGAGAUAUCAAAUUGUGAGAAUUGGAGCAAAUCAUUGCUAAGGAUAAUGAUGAUGAAAAUGAUCUCCAAUCUUCAUGCUUCCCUAAUUUGUUCGACUUGAGAUCAGAGGAUGCAACAAGUUGAAGAGUCUCUUCCCGUAGCCAUGGCUUCAGGUCUCAAAAAGCUCCAAGAACUUGAAGUAAGAGAAUCCUCUCAAUUAUUGGGAGUAUUUGGGCAGGAUGAUCAUGCUUCACCUGCCAAUCUUGAGAAGGAGAUGGUGCUCCCUGAUCUGCACAAGUUGUUUGCUUGUACAAUUACCGCAUUUCCUCCUUUAGUCUCGAUGUUCUAAUUUCUUGUUCCCUCAUUUGAAGAAGUUGGAGGUGGUGGAUGCCCAAAGCUGACCACAUAUCUGCUACUACAUCAAAUGACUCAAUGAGUGCUCAAUCAGAGUGUUGAUUUGACAUGAUUUCUUGCCUCUUGUUUAGUUUUAAAAGUGCACAAUAAUUACUAGGAAUUACAUCUAACAAAUCGGUACCCUUGUUUUCUUUUGAUGUAGGGGUUUAUGAAUUUGAAAGAAAUAUCUAUUGGAAACUUGGAAGGAGUACAAGAUUUAAUGCAAGUUGGAUGUUUGGUAACUAAUAGAAGUGGGGCAUGAACUUUCAUCGUGAGUUUGGAAACAUUACACUUGAACUUAUUGCCUGACAUGAGGUGUAUAUGGAAGGGUCUCGUGCCGUGCAAUUUGACUACUUUGAAGUGAACGAGUGUAAGAGACUGACACAUGUAUUCACAGACAACAUGAUUGCUAGUCUAGUUCAACUGAAGUUCUAGAGAUAUCAAAUGUGAGGAAUUGGAGCAAAUCAUUGCUAAGGAUAAUGAUGAUGAUGAUCUCCAAUCUUCAUGCUUCCCUAAUUUGUAUCGACUUGAGAUCAGAGGAUGCAACAAGUUGAAGAGUCUCUUCCCGUAGCCAUGGCUUCAGGUCUCAAAAAGCUCCAAAACUUGAAGUAAGGAAUCCUCUCAAUUAUUGGGAGUAUUUGGGCAGGAUGAUCAUGCUUCACCUGCCAAUACUUGAGAAGGAGAUGGUGCUCCCUGAUCUGCACAGUUGUUGCUUGUACAAUUACCAAGCAUUUCCUCCUUUAGUCUCGGAUGUUCUAAUUUCUUGUUCCCUCAUUUGAAGAAGUUGGAGGUGCGUGAAUGCCCAAAGCUGACCACAAUAAUCUGCUACUACAUCAAAUGACUCAAUGAGUGUUCAAAUCAAAGGUGCUUGAUUUGACAUGAUUUCUUGCCUCUCGUUUAGUUUUAAAAGUGCACAAUAAUUACUAGGAAUUACAUCUAACAAAUCGGUACCCUUGUUUUCUUUUGAUGUAGGGGUUUAUGAAUUUGAAAGAAAUAUCUAUUGAAAACUUGGAAGGAGUACAAGACUUAAUGCAGUUGGAAGUUUGGUAACUAUUAGAAGUGGUCGGCAUGAACUUUCAUUGGUGAGUUUGGAAACAUUACACUUGAACUUAUUGCCUGACAUGAGGUGUAUAUGGAAGGGUCUCGUGCCGUGCAAUUUGACUACUUUGAACGUGAACGAGUGUAAGAGACUGACACAUGUAUUCACAGACAACACGAUUGCUAGUCUAGUUCAACUGAAAGUUCUAGAGAUAUCAAAUUGUGAGGAAUUGGAGCAAAUCAUUGCUAAGGAUAAUGAUGAUGAAAAUGAUCUCCAAUCUUCAUGCUUCCCUAAUUUGUAUCGACUUGAGAUCAGAGGAUGCAACAAGUUGAAGAGUCUCUUCCCGAUAGCCAUGGCUUCAGGUCUCAAAAAGCUCCAAGAACUUGAAGUAAGGGAAUCCUCUCAAUUAUUGGGAGUAUUUGGGCAGGAUGAUCAUGCUUCACCUGCCAAUCUUGAGAAGGAGAUGGUGCUCCCUGAUCUGCACAAGUUGUUGCUUGUACAAUUACCAAGCAUUUCCUCCUUUAGUCUCAGAUGUUCUAAUUUCUUGUUCCCUCAUUUGAAGAAGUUGGAGGUGCGUGAAUGCCCAAAGCUGACCACAUAAUCUGCUACUACAUCAAAUGACUCAAUGAGUGUUCAAUCAAAGGUGCUCCUGAUUUGACAUGAUUUCUUGCCUCUUGUUUAGUUUUAAAAGUGCACAAUAAUUACUAGGAAUUACAUCUAACAAAUCGGUACCCUUGUUUUCUUUUGAUGUAGGGGUUUAUGAAUUUGAAAGAAAUAUCUAUUGGAAACUUGGAAGGAGUACAAGACUUAAUGCAGGUUGGAAGUUUGGUAACUAUUAGAAGUGGUCGGCAUGAACUUUCAUUGGUGAGUUUGGAAACAUUACACUUGAACUUAUUGCCUGACAUGAGGUGUAUAUGGAAGGGUCUCGUGCCGUGCAAUUUGACUACUUUGAACGUGAACGAGUGUAAGAGACUGACACAUGUAUUCACAGACAACAUGAUUGCUAGUCUAGUUCAACUGAAAGUUCUAGAGAUAUCAAAUUGUGAGGAAUUGGAGCAAAUCAUUGCUAAGGAUAAUGAUGAUGAAAAUAAUCUCCAAUCUUCAUGCUUCCCUAAUUUGUAUCGACUUGAGAUCACAGGAUGCAACAAGUUGAAGAGUCUCUUCCCAGUAGCCAUGGCUUCACCUGUCAAUGUUGAGAAGAAGAUGGUACUCCCUAAUCUAGAGUUGCUGAUUCUAGAAAAAUUACCAAGUAUUGUCUACUUCAGUCAUGGAUGUUGUGAUUUCAUAUUCCCUUGUUUGAUGAGGUUGAAGGUGCGCAAAUGUCCAAAGCUGACCACAAGAUUUUCUACUACAUCAAAUGGUUCAAUGAGUGCUCAAUCAGAGGUGCUGCAUAUUUGACAUGAUUUCUUGCCUCUUGUCGCACCCCAAAAAAAAUCAGCGCGCGGCAUCGGCUGGCGAUUUAAAUCUCGUUUAUUGCGUUUACUUGAAUUUGGUUCGUUGGAGUCGCCACCUAGUAAUUGAUUUCGGGCUACUAGGAAACCGGAUGUACUGGUCUUGUCAGAGAUUCGCGGGUAAGGGACUGGUUGUGGUUAGGGAAGGUAUUAGCACCCCUAACGCACCCUACCUGAGGUAAGCUGCUUCGUGGCUUUGACGUGUUAAAAAAGUUUUAAUAAUUGUCUUUUCUUCGGAAAUUAGAAAUAUCACUUACGUAUAAGUUAAUAAUUCUUAACCGUGAUCCGAUCAAAAUACUAAAUUCUUCUUUAAUGUAUUUGCAAUCUCAUCCUUAAAAAUAUAUACAAAUGAAUAAAACAAAAUACAAACACACACAUACACGUGUUAAAGAAGUUUUAAUAAUUGUUUUUUUUAUCAGAAAUUAGAAAUAUCACUUAUGUAUAAGUUAAUAAUUCUUAACCGUGAUCCAAUCAAAAUAUUAAAUUCUUCUUUAAUAUAUUUGCAAUUUUGUCACUAAAAAUAUAUACAAAUAAAUAAAACAAAAUACAAACACACACAUACACUUUCACUAUUUUUAUUCUUUUCUUUUCUUUUUCUUUUCUUUUCCUUUUCUUUUACAUCCACAAAAUACAAAUACAAAUACAAAUACAAAUUCAAAAUAAAUAAAUAAAAAUACACCAACACACACAUCCCCUUUAUUAUUAUUUUCUUUUCUUUUCUUCUUUUUUUUUUCUUUUACAUCCAAAUACAAAUACAACUUCAAAUUCAAAAUAAACAAAUAAAAAUUACAUUAAUUAAUUUAAAAAUUACAAAAAACAGUCUCUAAAAUUCUAAAAACAUUUCAGGGAAGGACUUCUGCAGCCGGAACAGUGUUCGUCAUGGUUUCUGGCUCGGGAACAGCGGCGGGCGCGUGGAUCCACGAGCCACCAUCACUGGCGCCACGCGCCGCCGUGAAAAGCUUGGAAACAGCAGAUCCCGAAUGGAUUCUUCUUUUCUGUCUCCCUAAAUCAUCGGUGACCACCUACAGAACAAAAAAAGAAACACACAAACACAGUCGAUUUUAAUUUUUUCUUUGAUUUCAAUCUGUUUUGUUCUUUCUCUUCCAACCGUUUUGGAUCUGCUCCUCUCGGCAGAUUGUUUUUGUUUCCUCUUCUUCUAUUUCAGAUGGGCGGUGGUGGGCGUCUUCUUCUCCUCCGUUUCAGGUGGUGAAGGCAGGUCUGACGGCGGCUGUGUUGCUGCUGGUGUUCGGCGAGCCGGUCGCUGCUACUGGAGGCCGAAUGAAGGGGGGGACUGGCGUUGCGAGAGGGUGGCCGGCUUCGGUGAAGGCCUGUCGAGGCUAGCUUCGGGUUCGUCAGGUGGAGAAGCUGGGAGACUGCGGCGGAGGGGAGAAGGAGCGGCGGCUCUGUGCAGGCUGAGAGGGAAGAUGACGGGGAGAUAGGGACUGAUGGAGGCGACCGGAGGAGAAGAAACCCACGGGUCCAAGCUGGGGAAGCAGCGAUCGUCUUCAACAGGAAGCGCCGGAGCUGCGGAUUGAUUUGGGUGGAGGCGCUGCUAUUGAGAGGAGAAGAAGAUGCUGCUGAGGAAGGGGGUUUCGGCUGGAUCUGCUGGUGAGGGAGAAAGGAAAGAAGAAGAAAAAAUAAUCCGAUGGGGGCUCGGGGGCUGUUUGGCCAGUUGUGGGUGAGGGAGAAGAACUAGGGGAUCCGGUGUGGAGAAGAAAAAAUCAAAACCCCAAAGGGCUGGCAGCUGUGUUUCUGUGGGGGAAAAAAAAUUGUGAGGGGGACGGCGGCUCUUUGAAAAAAAAAUAGGGUGGGGGGGGGAAGAUAGGUUUAAGGUUUUUUUCUUUUUGUAUUUUUCUAGUGUUUCCAAAAUUAGCCCCCCCCUGUCGAAUGUGUUGAGGAAACCAGUAUUUAUAGGCAAAAUGUUGCUAGGUUUUUCAACUUGGUCCCUCAACUUCUUUCUAUUUUGUAAAUUUUGAUUUUUCUUAUUUUUUUGAAAACGAGCAAUAUCAACGUCGACUUAAAUGCGGAAAAUCAAUGAUUUAAAAAUAACGCGUGAAACGUCGAACGCGUUUGAAAAUAUUUUAACAAUUUAAAUUCCUUUUUUAGACGACGUUGAAAAUGCUAAAAUGAUGAAAAUAUAUUAAAAAACAUAUUUUUGGAUUUUCUUUGCUUUUCUCAAUUUUUGGAUUUUUUUGAAAAUAUAUCAAAACAUGGGUCAAAAAUUGGGUAGCAACACCUCUCUUUAAGUGUUUUUAUUUCUUGUAUGCCAUGCUUGAAUGUGUAUGCCAUGCUUGAAUUGGUUUUGCAGGUAUCUCAAGUAGCUGAGGGUUCCAGCACUGGUUGCUAUGUGCCAACCAGCACUGCUAGAAGGUGGACCCGAAGCAAUGGGUGGGAAGAGGAAAAAGAGGAAGAGGAUAGAGUCAGAUGAUUAGUUUGGCAUUGGAAUUUGAAAAACAUGCUACUAAUUCAUUCUUCCAGGUAAAAUGGUUGCAGCUAUUUAUUUUAUAUUUUUCUUUAACUCAACAAAUACGAGAUGCCUGGAUGAUCUUUGUCCUUGAUGUUUGCAUUGGGUUGGUUGGUUACCUAUUUCAUGAUCAACUCGACAUUGGUGGGAAGUAAUUCCAGUUGUUUCAUUAGCUACAACAAUUUGUCUUAUUUCAUGUUUGCAACAGUUUGUUGUGUGAACUUCCAGAAAUAAAGGGUAAUGUUAUGUGUAUAGUAAUUUAUUGUGCGAACCUCCAAAAAAAGGGCUUUUGUUUGUCUGCCCAUUUGUGUUUCUUUUAAAGUGUCCGAACUUCAAAAACGAAAGGCAUAAUGUUUACUCAUUUGUGUGCUUAUUGUUUAAUGUGUGGAUUCUUAUUAUCUUCAUUUUGAUGUUCUAUUUCUAUUACGGAUUCUUUACGUGGUUAACUUGUUAUUGUGCAUAUCGUACAAUAAUAUGGUUUCUACAUGAAUAUAUAUAAAUACAUGUGAAUGAGUAUAUAUAUAUAAAAAAUCAAUUUAUAAAUUUAUUGACAGAAUAUUAAAAAUUCCAAUAUAUAAGUAAAAGGAUAAAUCCUCUAGCUUUGAAAAGAAUUAGCGUUUGCCUUUGAGAUUGUAAAUUUUUUUUUAGCGUAUAUUCAAUUUAAUAUUUUUAAUAAUACAAAUGAAAAUAAACAGCAAAUUUAAUUUAUAAGUGUGACUAUCUCAAAACAUUGUUGAGAUGGAAGAAAGAUUAGUAGAAUAAAAAUAAAAUUAAUAGACUUUUAAAAAGCAAAGAGUUUUUAAUGUUAAAAAUAUUUUUUUUAUUUAAUAGACCCAAUUUUGUAUUUUUUUUAAAAGAUAACUCUAUUUUAAUUCUGAUUCUUUCGCAACACAAUUUUUCAUUCACCAUAACACACACACUUUUUUUUUUUUAAUAAUUAACAUGUCAUAUUAAUGAGGAGAGGUAUUUGAAUUGGGUGAGGCUGAUGAAGGAACUAAGUAGCUGUCGCUGCUGUCAUCUUUAACAGAGUUACGGCUGUACUAGUUACCUGAGCUCAAAUAUAUAUAGAAGGGGCCUACUAGAUAUGCUGAACUUGUGGUAUCUUGACAAACUGACAUUUAUCUUCCCUGUGUCUCCAAGUCUUCUGAACCUGGAACAGAUAACGAUUAAAUUUGCUGACAAUUUAAAGCAAAUAUUUUACAGUGGAGAAGGAGAUGUACUCACCAGAGAUGGCAUCAUCAACUUCCCUCAGCUAACAAAAUUGAUUCUUUCAAAUUGCAGCUUUUUUGGCCCAAAGAAUUUUGCUGCCCAAUUGCCUUCUUUGCAAGUGUUAACCAUUAAAGGCCAUGAAGAAUUGGGUAAUUUGUUGCCACAGCUACAAGUACGUCCUUUUUAUUUCUCCUCUGAUUUUCUCCUUUUGAAUUUAAAUUGUCAUAUUCAAUACAUUGUGAUAAUUUCUUAUUUCUUCCUUCAGAUUUCUAAAACUAAAGUAAUGGAUAAAUGCUAGCAAAUCCUUUAGCCAUCCACUGAAUUUAAAAGGAGUGAAAUUGAGGCUUUUCCGCCAAUUAAUAAAAAAUGGUUUUUUUAUCCGAUUUUCUAAACAAUUAGAGUCAAAAAGUAAAAAUUGAAACUUUCUUUUUAAAUACAAUAUUUUCUCAUUCAAAGAACUUCAAAAGCAACAAAUUUGUAAUUAAACAGACCCGAUAAAAGAAAUUCUACUUCAAUUUUUUGUCAAGAUAUGUCUAUCUUGAUAGAACAAAUGAAGGAUGUAUUUCUCCUCCUCCAAUACUCCAAUAGUAUAGGUUCAAGCCUCAUUCCCUAUGUAGAGGGGGGGACUGUUAAACUUGAUGAUUAGAGUAGUGUUUAGUUAUUAUUUUAGAAUAUAAAUUAAAGAUAAAGAUAGUGAAAAUGGAGAAGACAUGUUUUCAUAUAGUUUUUUUUUUUAAGAAUAUAAAAAUUCAUAAAAAAAAUUAUUCCAAAAACAGAUUUAUUUUAUGUAACAAUCUUCAUUUUCUUCAACAAAUAUAUUCUUGUCUCUUAUGUAUUUGUUUAUUCCAACUUAAAAUAUUAAUUAAAUAGUCUAAUUUUUUAAUUUGAUCUAUGAUUUAAAAAAAACAUUUUAUUAUCACAACAUAGAGUAAAAGUUUAAAAAAGAAACAUUCACGGGCCUACACAGCACAUGAGCUGAUUAAAUGACGACAAUUCCAUUAGCAAAUUUGUGCUACAAAUGACAAAAUAAAAACAAACUCAGCAAACAAGAUCAGUCCUAAUUAAUUUUGUCAAUUGUUGGCCUAUUCCAAACUAUCAAGUAUUGAACCUUUCCAAAUUAAUUGCUUUUUUUUUUUCAAUUUGUUUUGGUCUAAUUGCAUUGAUUGGUUGGUUGAUUGAAUGAAUGGUGCAGUCCCCAUUUUCAUUUACUUUUGGCAUUACACAAAAACAUCCCUUUCAAGUUACAAAACGACGUGCAGCUCAGUCAAUGCCUUCAUUGCCUACCGCCUUCAAAAAAUCAACUGCUUAGUUAGAUUCGUCCUUGGCUUGCUUAGAGCGACAACCACAUUAAAUGACAGCCACCGAAAUGUUUGACAUGUGGCCUAGAAUGUGAAUUAUGUGUUAACAAUUAGCUAAUUUUUUAAUUCUCUUAAUUUGAUUAAUUUAAUUAGUUACGGUGGCUGAGAGGUAGUAUCUAAUAAAUUUGUGCUACAAAUAACUUAAAAAAAAUAAACUCAGCAAUCAAGAUCAGUUCUAAUUAAUUUUUACACAAGUAUAUUGUCAACUGUUGGCCUAUUCCAAACUGAGAAAAUUAAGUUGGAAAAUAAAGGGAAUAUUUUUAAUCAAAUAGAAAAAGUAAUACCCAUAAAUUGAAAAAUAACUUAACUCAAAUUAUAAAAGUAAUACCCAAUAUAACUUAAAUUUAGCUUAUAGUACGUAUGCUUCUUAUUCUUACCCAUAAAAUUGGCAAUUUCCUGUACGGCAUAAGCUUCUUAUUAAUAAACACUAAUGAUCCAACAAUUGAACCAUGUAUAUAUGUUAUUAAAUGAAUUGAAGCUCCUUUUGAAAUUUGGACAUCAAAGAAUUCGGACCUAUACUUGCUAACUACAGUAGCAUGUUAACUCUAGUCCUUAAUGCUUUAAACUUUUUUUUUUCAACAAUUUCUUUGACACAAUAAAUUGUACUUUCAUUGAAAUUAGGCUCUUUAAAUUCAAAAUUACACCAUUAUAGAUAUUCACAUAAAAUGGCCCACUCAAUCACAGCUUUGUAAAAGCCUAACAAGUAGCUAGCAACUUAAUGGCUUAAUCGACAAAAGCUUUCAGUCGAGUAAAUAAGUUCGGUGUUUCAGUUAAGUUAGAAUUCAGUUACUUAAUUUUAGAAAAAGAAAAAACAACGAGUUUUUUCUUUAUAUUUUACUCUAUACUAAAAAAAAAUCAAUUUUUCACCAUGAAUUCGCAUAAUUAAAGACUGAUUUUAUCCUUUGAUUGAUAAAAUAGCAUGUCUUAGAUCUGGGGAUAUAAUGAUCUUUUUCAUAGAAAACAUUGGUCAUUGCUAAAAAGGAGACCAGGUGAUAUUUUUACAUUUUCUUUGUAUAAUGUGAUUAUUUAAUUACCUCUGGAAGACCAAAAAAAAAAUAAAUUACUUGGGUCUAGAGGCUUUUAGUCUUUGACUUGAUUUUUCAACAAGUUACUUAAGUGUCCAUGGAAAUUUAAAAUAAUUGUCUUUGACUCUGAGGCUUUUUGUCAUUUAGAUGUGGUCAUUUGAUAGUUAUUGGUGUCAUUAAAGGCAAGAAUAUAAUUUGGUAAAUAAAAAAUUAAAUUAAAAAGAAAAAUAGAAUCGGGAGCAGUGUUUGCCACCUAUGAACAACGUGUGUAGUAACAUUCGAUGGCCAAAACCAUGAUUCUAGGCGGCUUUCGAAGGAUCUCGAUGUCCCCACAAAUCAACGGUGCAUGUAGCACUAUAACGGCGGGUGUGACAUAUGUGGCCUUUUGUUUUUUUUUUUUCUUUUCUCCUUUCUCAUACUCAAUUUUCAUGUUGGAAUUAAAAAAUCAAAUCAGUCUCUAAAGUUUGUUCUACUUAUGAUUUCAUCCAUGUUCUCUUUAUUAUAAAAUCAUGUGGUUUUUUUCAAUUUCAUUAUUGUUCUCUUUGUUGCAUUUUUUUAUUUAGAAUAGUCUAUUAAAUUACUUUAGAUGGUUUUCACAACUGUUUUUUUUUUUUGCAAUUUCUUUAUUCUUUAGUUUUUUCCUAUCCAAUCUAAUCUUUUCUUUUAUUAUUGUAUUUUUCUUACCUUGCGAGAUAUUUUUUGAAUAAGUUUUUUUUAUUAUUUCAUUCUUCAACAUUUAAUUAGAUGAGUCUUUAGGGUUUUAGUUAAGUCUGAAUCUAGAAUUUAAUGGUUUGCAGGUUUAAGAGAUUGACCCCAGUUUCUUUGUUUUUUUUUUUUUCAUCCUCCAACAUUUUUUAUUUUUUAAUUCACUUUAUAUGAUAUUUUUUUUUACUUCCUCUUGAAAUUAAAAAUAUGAAAGGAAAAGAGAAGCAGGCAGUUGGGGAAAUUUCAUUAGGAAGGAAGGUAUUUUAUAUAUAUAGUUAAUGGAAUGUUUCAUAAAUAUACUACAAGGAUUAAAUAAUUAAUUUGAAUAAAUUACAGCGCUAAGUUAUAAUUAAAUCUUCAUUGACAUAUAGGAUUUUAUUAUUUGUUUUUUUUAAGGAGAAUAUGUACAUGCAACAAUCUUUACUGUUCCUUCAUUUAGGAAUAUAGAAUUCAAAUAUGGUUUUAAGAGUAUAUAUUUAUAGGGUACAAAUCUGUUUGUAUAAGCAAUAUUUUCAUAAAUUUAUCAAUUCUGCAGCUGGAAAAAAGAAAUAGACUCAAUAUUCCACAUGAGAAAACCGAUAAAAUGAAAGAAAAAGAGAAUUCUUUCUUUAUCCAAAAAAUGCAUAACACAAUUUUAGUUACAGCACUACAACUCAACUGUUAUAUUAUCUUAAUUAACAAAAAAAUCCAUCAUAUAAUAAGCCAAAAAAAGUCCAUUCAUAAGCUGGAGUUCUGAAGGAGGGCCAGCAAUCUCUCCGGCCUGUUUCAACGUUUCUUCCUUUUCUAUUUCUGCUUGUUUAUUUCUGGUCCCCCUCUAUUCGUGACUCUCUUUUUUUCCCCCUUUCGUUUUUGUGAUCCCCCCUCCUGCGCUCUCUCAUCAUCUCUGGCUUUAUAGCCAGAGAAUACCAACCAUUUGAAACGGCUUCAAAGCCAUUACUGCCAGAAACGGCUCCUGAGGAAGAAGGCGAAGAAGGCGAUGAAUAGCUUUCAAAAACGGUGCCGUUUGUGUGAUGGGAAUGACCAUUUUCAAUCCGGUCACUGAAGUUCUGAAAUCAUGUAAUCAAGUCCCUGGGUAAAUUGUAAUUAGACCCCUUAAUUUCGGGGAAAUUUUCAUGCUGGCCCUUGGAUUUUAAUGUUUUCAAUCUGGACCCCAAUUAAACUCCAAACUUUGAUACUUUUUCAAUUAAGUCCCUGAUUUCAUUAAUUUAAUUAAAUCUAAAGUCUAAUUAAGUCUAAAACUUAUCAAUUCUCUAAUUAAACCCUUAAUUGGAUUAAUUAAAUUAAUUCCAAGCUCAAUUAAGUCUCAAAACUUAUCAAUUUUCCAAUUAAACCCUUAAUUGGAUUAAUUAAAUUAAUUCCAAGCUUAAUUAAGUCUCAAAACUUAUCAAUUCUCCAAUUAAACCUUUAAUUGGAUUAAUUAAAUCAAUUCCAAGCUUAAUUAGAUUAAUUUCAAAGUUUAAUUAAACCCCAAAACUUCCAAUCAUAUUGCCCUUUACCCAAAUUUUAAUUCAUUCUUCAUUUUUUCAUUUUACUUGUUUUUUCAUCAUUAUUAUUUUCAUCAAUUUUUUUUAUCAUUUUCAAUAAAUAAAUAAUAAUAAAAAUAAAAUAAAAUGGUCAAAAAUUGGGUUAUGACAUUAUGAGUUAAAAAUAAAAUGAAAAAAGAACUUUUGGGUAUAAAAUACCCUUAACCUAAUCCGGUCAUUAAAUUUUGAGCAAGCAAAUGACACGUCAUUUUCUAAGGCUCAUUCUCCAUGUCUAUUUUUUUAAUAAAAAAUAAAUAAUAUAUCAUCCACCCUUUAAUACGAGAAAUUAAGAGAGUUUACCUUCUUUUUCUACAGAAACUUCAACUCAGCUACAGUUCAAGGAUUUCUAUACAGGGGCAUCAAGUUUUAAAAAGAAAGGCAAAGAAAAACUAGCCCGGCCACCAUAUCAAAAGAUGAGCUUACUUUCUCUUUUUUCGCUGUCUCUCACUUGUCCCCGUUUUCUCUUUUAAAAACUCUAAUUAAUAUUAAAUUAACAAGAAAAUACUAAAUAAAAAGGGGUUUUUAUUAUAACCUCUCCUCACAAAAUACUAUUUAUUGGAUUAAUAUUUUUUUUAUUAAUGCUUUUUUAUAAAAAAAAAUAUUUAUUUUUUAAUAUUAAAUUUGUUUUUUAUUGAGUUAUCUCACUCUCAUUGCAAGGAUCACAGGUUUAGUAGGUUUUUUUUUUCUUAAGUAACUUUUUCUUCUUAGUCUCAUCAUUUAAUACUGAGUAUAUUGAUAAUUAGGCUUCAUGAUUAUUUUAUUUGCAUUCUAUUGGGUUAUUUCAACCUCAUAAUACAUGAAUAGUUCUUAAUAAGUUAACCCAAGUUAACUCAGCUUGUUUUUUGUGUCUUUUUUUAAUUGAGUUUUUUUACAAUUUUAUCAUUCAACAUUGGAUCGGUUGAGACUUAAGCUUCAUAAUUUAUUUUAAUUAUACAUUUUACAAGGAUAUCUUAGUUUCAUUAUCAAGGUUGUGGGUUUUGACAUUUUAAAUUGAUUUUUUUUAUAUUUUUUUUUCUAAAAAAUUAUAUCGGUUUCAUGAAUUGAGUCAUGGGUCCUCAACAUUGGAUUUACAUUUUAUUAGUUUAUCUUUGUUUUCGUGACUUGGGUAACGGGUUUGGCCGGUUAACCAAGCUGACUUUUUUUUUUUUUUUUUUUGGCUUUUUCCCCAAUCUCAUUAUUUAAUAUUCUAUUGAUUUAAAAUUAGACUCAUAAUUUGUUUUAGUUUGUUUUUUUAAUAAAAUUAGAUGUUUUUUCCAAUUUCAACCUCCUUUAAUUUUUUUAUAUGUCAAAUUCAAUCACCUUUCUUUUGAUUUCUAUUUAUUUUAUUUGAAAUAAUUUUUAAAAUUAUUUUUUUAUUUCAUCCUCUGGUUUUUUUUUCCUAUUAGGUUUAAUCCUCAUUCUUUUGAUUGCUUUUAAAAAAAAAAUUAAAUGUUUUUUUUUUGUUUGCUUCAUCCUUUAACAUUAAGUGGGUGUUUGGUUUUGUGGUUGCGGGUGAGGUUCACCCGCAACCACACAAAUUUUCCGUUUGGUAACAAAACAAAAACUGCUUUUUACUAGUAGGGCCCACUGAAUUUUAAAUUGAAACCGAGGUUUUGGAGAAGCAGCAAAAUGCUGCUUCUCCUGAAGGAAAAACGCUGAACAGUGGAGCAUGGCUCCACUGUUCCCUAAACUUUUAAUCAUAGUUGGUUUUUUUUUCUUCAAAAAACCAAGAAAAGUAAAACUGUACAGUGCGAGUGAUUUUAAUUCACUCGCACUGUUCAGGGUUUUAGUUUUUUUUUUUUUUUGGAAAAACAAAGAAAAGUUUUUUUUUUUCUGAAAAAUCAGUGCAAUUAAAAAAAAUUAGUGAUUUCACUCGCACUAUUCAUGUAAACGUGAACACUAUUUUUUUUUAAAAAAACAAUUAGUUUAAGGUGAAUUAAAUUUACUUAUACUGUAAUCUCAAUUUUAUUCCUCAUAUAUAUUUACUUAAUUUUAUUGCAUGCUCAAAAAUCAUGAAAAUUGUAGUUUUUGUCGAAUAAAUUUUGUACGUAAUGAAAUUGUAAUUUUUUUUUUUAUAAAAAUUGAGUUUUAGUUGAAAAACUAGUAAUUAAUAUUAUAUUUAACACUACAUGAAUUAGAAGGAUAUAGCAUGAUGACGUACCAUUUUAUGAAAUUUGAUCGCAAUUCUAAUUAUGUUAUUGUCGGGUCCGGCCCAGUUAAAAAAAAUUCAAUUUUUAUUUUAUUUUAGUUAUGUUCUAUUUAAAAAAUUAAAAGAAUAUCGCUUGAUGACGUAACAAAAGAUUCAGUUUUGUUGUUGCGCGCUUAAGAAACCAUGAAAAAUAUAGUCCUUGUUGGAUAGAUUUCACAUGUGAUGACAUUGCACAUAGUGUAAUGGAAUAAUAAAAAUAUUUGAUAUCAAUAUUAUUUAUUUCAUGAUGUAAUAAUAGUUUAAAUUUACAAUAUUUAAAUUAAAAAUCAUUAAUAUAAAUAUAUAUAUAUAUAUUUUUAAUUAUUUUAUAACCUCAAUUUGAAAAGCAUUUUUAUUAACCAAACACAUUAAACUACUUUUUCUUCAACCUCAAUUUUAACCACAGUUUUAACCAAACACCUAUUUUUUCAAACCAAUCUCAACUAAAAGUACUUUUUAUAAAACAACUUUUUAAAACCACAACCACAAAAGCUACCGCAAUACCAAACACACUCUAAAUUGGUUGGGAAUAGAGCUUUUUGAUUGAGCCAAGGUCUAGAAUUUCACGAGUUACGAGUUUGAAAGAUUAACAUAGGUUUCGGAUAUUUGCUCAAGUUUGCUUGGUUUUCUCCCCCGUUUUAAGCUUUUAGUUUUUUAGUUUCAUCCUUCAACAUUUAUUUAAUUUAAUAUUGGGCUCUAGUGUUUUUAUUUUCUUUCUAUUGGAUUUCUCAUUGAUUUUAAAAAUGAUAUAGGUUAUAUUACUCUUCAACAUUAGGUUGUUUGAUAAUUAAGUUUCAUAGUUUUAUUCAAUUUGCUUUUAAUGAGGUUGCCCAAUAUCACAACCAGGUCACGAAUUUUGUAUGCUGGCCCAAUGGAAUCGAGUCGGGUUUUUUUUCAAAACUUUUUUGAGAUUAUAUAUUGUCUUCAAAUUUGUCCUUCAAUAUUUUGUUUAUUAGAAAUUGAGCUUCGAAUGUUUUCAAGUUUUUAUUUAAAUUUUUCUUCAUUAUCAAAUAAGAUCCUUCAACAUUUGAUUUUUUUAUUUCAUAUUUCAAUAUUUGAUUGAUACUUCAAUCUUAUACCUAUAAUCAUGGGGUAAUAGAUUAACCUGGUUUAACUCAGGUUGUUUUUUUUUUUUGCUUCGCCCUUUGAUAUUAGGUUAUUUGAUAAUUGAGUUUCAUGAUUUUAUUUAAAUUUUUUUCAACGGGGUUACCCCGAUGUCAUGACCAAGUCGCAUAUUUUGCAUGCUAACAUGGAUGGGCUCAAUUUUAUUUUUUUACCUUUUUUCAAUGUCAUUUUUUCUUUAAUUUUUUUAUAGUCGUGGUAUUUGUCAUUUGUGUUUUUCAAUUAGCCGAUCUUAUUAAACAUAAUUGAGUCAAUGACCUGAGUCUUUUUUUUUUUUUUUAUGAACACUUGCAUUGCCUUAGCAUCCUUUCUUUAUGUUGAAAAAAAUUGGGUCUACCUACGGUAUAGCGCGAGCCACCUAUCUAGUGUUACACUACUUUUUAUGGAGUUUUGAAGAAAAAACAACUAGUGGGUCAAGUAUUUCUAACCAAGACAUAACAUAAACAAAAUAAAUUAAUAACCUGUGAGGUGAUUUUAUGAUAGCACCAUUCACUAUGAAGCCUCUCACAUUUCAUUAUGAACUGGAGUAGUGAUUUUUUUUUCUUUUAAUUUUUUCUUCUUAAUUUUAUCAUUUUGUGGUCAAAUUGAUGGCCAAUUGCUUUGGGUUUGUUAUGAAAGGGUAAGAUUAAAAAGAUUGGAGACCAAAGAGAAAAGGGCAGAAAAAAUAGGUGGCAGAUUCAAAAUUAGCGAGAGAAGUUCACUUUGUUUGAAUUAUAAUUUUUUGGUCCUUUUAGUUUUUGGAAAUUUAUUUUUUUAUUGAAAAUUUUAAUUUUUUUAUUUUCAAUCAUUGGUUUGAGAGAUGAGAGAGAAGGUUGUUGGAUUCUAGUUGAAGAAAGAGAAAGUCAUUAGUUGACAUCGACCCUAGCCAUGUAAAAGGUCGAUUUUGGUGUUAGUAAGAUUCAUUCGACAAUGAGAGUUUUACUUAGGUGUUCUUUGUCUUCCUCAAAAGCAAAAAAGGUUAAUUCAAAUUGCUCUGGGUUUUUUGAUUAAUUAUUGGGUUAUUUGAGGCCAUAAAUGAAUUUAUCAAAGUCUAUAGGAUGUUUUGUAGGUGUUAUGGGUUAAAAAUAAAAUGAAAAAAGAAUUUUUGGUUAUAAAAUUCCCAUGACCUAAUCCUAUCAUUAAAUCUUGAACAAAACUGGGCAUAUUUAAAAAAAAAACAAUUGUUGAAAAAGUAUCAAAAAUUCAAAAAAUAAAUAUAAAUCAAAAUUAUGAUUUGGGAUGAAAUCAAACAUAUAAUAAAAUUUUAAAAGCAAGAAGUGGUCUAAAAUAUGUAUAAUCAGGCCAAUUAUAAUUUUGAGGACCAAUUAGGAAUUUAAUUGAAAAUAAAAUUAAAGAAAAAGGUUGAAUUUAGCCAAAUUUGCUUCAGAGAGAGGUUGGAGAGAGAAAUCAUGUUUGAGAGAAAGAAACGAGGAUUGUAAGAAAAUUAUGUAGACUUACAUUUAUUAUAUACUAAGGGAAAAAAAUAUCUUUUAAUCUAAUUUGCUUUUUCCUGUUAAACACGGAGGCAAAUCAUAAUUUUCCGAACCUUAGAUUGAAAAAAAAGAGAGACCAAAAUCAUAUGAGAAUUUUUUUUAAUUAUACCUAAAAUUUAUUAAGGAAAGAAAACAAAUUCAACAAUAGAGUACAAAGUAUAAAAUAAGAAGAAAUCCAAUAAUCAAUCUUAAAUUUGUUAGAAAAUGUUAUGUUUAGUUCACAUUUUUUUUAAUUCUACAGUUCCUUUAGUUUUUGCAAUUUUAAUUUUAGUUUAAAAUUUUAUUUUCUUAACAUUUUUAAUCCUUGAAUUUAAAAAAUAAAAAAAAAAGUCGUUUGAAAAUAAUAAAAGAGCGAUGAAGUUGGUGAAUGAGUGCUUUUCAGAGACAAAACUCAUUUCUUGGUAUCAACAAGUUUUAUCAUAUGAGAGAAGCUUGAUAGUGGUAGUUUCUUUCUAUAAACAUGCCUGAAAAAUAUAUUGAGUUCCAUUUAGAUUUUCUUAUUUGGUUUAUUUUUACUUUUUGAAUUAUUUUGGGAUUUUGUUUUUGGUACAUAGAGGUUUUUAUGGUGUUUUUAGAUGCAAAUGGGUUGAAAAAUAGAUUCUUAGGCUUGACUUUUUGACUUUUUUUUUUAUCCAUUUCCAUUAAAUGUUUCUAUUAAAUUAGCUCUGUUUUUUAAAAAAGUUUUUUAAAUAGUGAUUGAUUUUUUAUAUGUUUUUAAUUGCAUGAUAUUUCAAAGAAAUUAGUUUGAUUUGUCCUUAACAAGAUUAAAAUAAAAAGAACAAUCAAUAUAAAAUAUUUGCAUGUGUAUCUAUAUUUUAUUUCUACUAUGAAGAUUAACUUCAUGUUUUAAUAUUAAAUUAGUGAUAGCAACUCCUUUUGAUUUAUUAGUUCAUAUAUAUUUUAAUUUUUUUUAUAAAAUAUAAAUAGAUCUUUUCAUAUCUCAAUUAAAAAAAUAUAAAGUAAUGACUUCAUAAUUUAUUUUGAUGUGUUUUUCAUAAAGUUAUUAUGAUCUCAAACAAACAUCCCUGUAAUGGGUUGAGGCUUGUUUUUUAGCAUUAAUUUUUUAAUUAUAUAAUUAAAUAAAAAUAGUUUUUUUAAAAAUAUAUUAUUAAACCUAGUGAAGUUCAUGAUUCUUAUAGCGAGUUUGACAUGUUAAUCCAUAUUGACAUAAGUUGAUCCAAUAUGUCGUUAUCUUAAUAUUUUAAAAUGAAAGUUUCAUAUCGAAUUUUUUUUUUUAGUCAAAUCAUAUUUUCACUGGACUUCUAAAUUGCUUUUAGACAAACCAAGUCUAUUGGGUUAUAUUGAGACAACUCCUAGACAAUUUGAUUUGAAGUUCAAGCUAGAUAAAAAAUCAAGUUAUGAUAUUUCAAGGUUAACCUGUUAGAGUGGGUUUAAUAACAUUAUCAAUGAGUUCCUCUAACUAAUCAUUAUUUUUUUACAUUAAAUUAUUUUUUAUUCGACCAAUAAAAUAACAAGAGCCAAUUAUCUAAUUAUAUUUCUAUUAGUUGAAGGACAACACUUUUCUAUGAAAAAAGUUAAUAGAAAAUUUAUGUUGAAAGGCAAAACAAGAAUUCUGUGUGUUUGGUUGCAAAUAAACAAACUUUAUUUGCAGGUCUUUGAGAUCUCAAAAGUCCAUAAUUCACAUUUAUCAUUGUUGAAAGAGACAAUAUUAAAAUUAUUGUUUUAGUGUUAUCAUCAUUUAUUUUUUUAUCAAUUUUAUCAUUAAACUUUCAUAAAUUUUUAAUGAAGGACUUUCGUCUAAUUAUGGCUUUCCAUCCAUAUUUUCAUUCAAACUUUUUUUUUUGGUUAUAUAAUAUUAAUUUGUAAAAACUUAAUUUUUUUAGGUAAUUGUAAUAGAAAUCCUUAAUUGAAAAUCCAAAAUAGUUUAGUAAUAAAAUUAAUUUUAAAAAUAAAUUGGAUGCAAAUGAUAACACUCAUGUAGUUUAAUAUUUAAAAACAAUUAUCAUCUUAAAAUUUUAUUAAAAUUAAAUGAUAUUUUUACUUGUAUUUUAAUCUAUUUUUUAUUAUUAAAAUCACAUGCAAAGUUUGUAAAACAAUAUUAUUGUCCUCGUGAAAAUGACAGGGAAUUGACCUCUUCUCACCAUUUUCCCUUGCUUUCGUCAGGACCGCUGAAAUAAGGUAAAGGUUUUUUAGCUCUAUUUUCUAUCUCGUACUAAGAGGAACAGGAGAAUGGUUAGAUUGAGUAUCUGUUAGAAUUGUACUCUCGAAAAAUUAAUGUUGCAUUUGUUUCUUGAAAACUAGUUUAUGAGAUUUAUUUUUCAAGUUUUUUUUAUUUAUUUGUUAAUUAGAAAAAUUAAUUAAUGAAAAAUACUUUCCGGUUAAUAGAAAAUAUUUUUUGGUUAAUAAAAACACUUUCCAGUCUAAGAAAAUUUGGCUUGGUAAUAUUCAGAAAGUGUUUUCUUUUUAUUUUGGGUGGAAAUAAUUUUUUAAAGUUGUGAAAAAUUUAAAAUGUCAUAUUAUUUACUGAUUAUAUCAAAUUUGUCCUCAAACUUUUAAUUGCUAUAUAUAUAUAUUGUAUUAUUUAUUUUUAAUUUCAUCCUAUAGAAUUUAAUUUUUAUAUUAAUUUUGGUCCUUAUUUUUAUAAUUAUUGUUUGUUUUCCCUUAUAUUUUUUUAAUUUGAAAUUUUUUAUCUAUCAAAUUUGGUCUCUCAUUCUUUUGAUUGUUACUUAUUUUAUUUGAAAUAAUUUAUGAAAUGUUAAGUAUUUACUUAUUAUUUUUGAUUUCUUCAUCUUUUAAUUUUUUUAUUUUUUAGAUUUGAUCUCUAUUAUUUUGAUUAUUAUUUGUUUUAUUUGAGAUAAUUUAUGAAAUUAUAUAUAUAUAUAUAUAUAUUUUUAAUUUCAUUCUCAUUCAACUUUUUUAUUUGUAAGAUUUAUUCCUCAUUAUUUUAAUAAAUUUGAAAAAAAUGAAACAUUAAUUAUUUAUUUUUUAGCUCAUUUUCCAUGACAUACCAAAUACUGAAAAGUAUUUUUCAACUUAUUUUUCAUUACACUACCAAACAUCGAAAAAUAAAUUUAUUUUCCUACAAUUCAUUUUUAAAAAAAAAAAUUAUUUUUCAGUAAAUAAACUGUUUCAAGUGACAAUUUCCUUUCCUCCUCGAAAAUUUCACUUCGAUUUGUACUUUAUGUUUGUUUCUUCUGCCGUUUUCACUUGAAACCGAGUACAGAUUCCCUUUGACGAUACCCUGGCAAUUUUCUUUUUUCAUUAAAAAAAAAUACUAUAUCUUAUUGUAAGCGCAUCCUCUCUUUUCCUGCUCCUCGAGAAACCAAAAUAAAUAGCAAAACGUUGUUGACAAUAUUUCAAGCAGUUAAAGAUCGUGUAUUUUUAUAUUUUAAAAGUUUUAUUUUUUAUGUUUUUAAAUUUUUUAAUGUAUGAUAUAUAAAAAAAUAACAAGUAUUUAAAAUAAUGAUUAUUAUAAUACCAAACGAGCUCUUAGAUAAAGUUUUUAAUUACUAUCCCGAAACCGAAAAGACAAAGAUAAUGAUGUGGGACAGAGAAGAUAAGACAAAAAAUGAGAUUAAGACACAAUUAUAUUUGAUAGUGAUGAACAAGAUAAAGUGAUUGUCUUGUAUCAUAUUUGGUUGCUAUGGACAAAGAAAUAUAAAAUAUAAAAAAUUCUAUUUUACUCUUAAUAUAUAUUGUUACCACUUACAUUACAUAUUUAAAAAUAAUAACAUGAAAUUUUAUAUUUUACUUCAGUUUUAUAUCGAGUGAAAUUGAAAUAAUAAUAUUAAUAUAUUAUAGUUAUAAAACUAGAACUGAUUUGACGGGUUGAUUUGGAGUUUGAAUUGGUUCGAGUUUAAAAAAAAUCAAGGAAGGAUUGACUCGAUCUAGCCCAAUCGAAAACCCAAGUUAACUCGGGAUAAUAAGAGUAUAAAAAACCAAUUAAUUUUUAGUAAAAAAAUUAAACAUUUUGAGUUAGCCGAGUUGCCUACCCAUGACAUAAAUCUUGCACUAGGUUGACAUAAACCAUGUAUGAUUUUAUGGCAGAAUAAGGUGUAUGGAAAUAGACUCUUCCUAGUUAAUUUUUAUAUUUCAAUCAAAUCUAUUUUAGGGUUUGAACAUGAACCAUCUGAAGAGGUUUUUUUUUCUUGUCUAUUAUUGCUUUAAUAAAGAUAACAAAAAAGAAAAGAAAAGAAAAGGAUAAAAGUAAAACCAGAGAAAGAUUAAGAAUGCCAAAAGAGUGUGGGAUUGAUAUUGUAAUAUAAGAUGUUUUUUAAAAUUAUUUUUUUGUUUAAAAAUAAUUUUUUAAAAUUUUUAUAUCAACAUAUUAAAAUCAUAAAAAAAAACACUAAUUUGAUAUAUAUUUUUUAAAAUAUAUAUUCGAACAAAACUCACCCAAACCCAAUUAAAAAAAAAACAGAAAACAAAACGUUGCCAAGUGGAAUUAACUGGGGAGAGUCUAUUAAAUCAAGAGCAAAACAACACCCUAUUAAAUCAAAUUAAAAAAAAACAAUUUGAAGCAUCAAAGGGUGAAAUUUUAAAAAUGGAAGGACUGAAAUAAAAUAAAACCACAAAAGAGGGUGAAAAAGAGAAACAGCAGUUGGAUGCCACCAAUAGCCUUUGGUCUUAUUACAUUAGUGUGUGAUGCAGAGAUAGUCAUUGCAGAUUUUAGGUGCCUAAGUUUGAUCCUUUGUUGAGGUUCAUGCAAGUCUUUUUUUCUCCUUAUUCGUAUAGCUUUAGAUUAAUUUUAUGUGUUAUUGGAAGCGAUGAGGAGCUAGUAUCUUUCGUGCAGGUGUCAAAGUGAUCAUCAUCAGCCUUCCAUUCCUUUCUCUCUUUAGGGUCUAUUGGAUAUCUCUUUUAAGUGUCAAAAUAUCAAAGUGAUGUCACAUAUAGAAUCAAAGUAGUAUAAGGUGGAACAAAAAAUUAGGGCAAUAGUAGAAUUAAAUUUUUUAAAAAAUAUAAAUUUUAAGAGAUUUAUAUGAAGAUUUUUUAUCUGUCUAAGAAACCUCACAUAGAAAACAUCUUCAGCACUUGGUUUAAAAGGUUCGAAAAAAUUUAUUUUUUUCCUCCGUUUUUGUUAAUUUUCCAGCAAACAUGAGCUACACUCCUAUACUUGGUUUAAAAGGGGUACACACAAUCUUCAGCAUGUGAGGUUUAAAAAUGAGUAAGAAUAGUUUUUAUUUUUUUUUGUCUUUGUUGAAUUUAGUUUUUAUGAAGGAAUUUUAUUUUUAAAUUGAAGUAAAUUGAUUAAUUUUAUUUUCAACAUUUAAUUUUUUAGGUGUUGAGAUCUUGCGUUGAGCCCGGGUCAAGAAUUUAAUGGAUUGCGAGUUUGAGAGUUUAACCCAAGUUUAUAGGGUUCACUCAGGCUUCUUUGGUGUUUUGUUUCUUUUUUUAAGCUCUUUUCUUUUUUUAUAUUUCAGCCUUUAACAUUCUUUUUUACUCCCUUUCUAUAAGAUUUAUUUUUAAAAAAAAAAAAAAUAACAAGGAUUCCCUAAAAGGUUUUUUUUUUUUAUUUUUUUUUUGCUUCUUUAAAAGGAAUGUUUUUUAAUUAAAUUAAUUUUUUUGAUUUCAUCCUCUUUCAUUUUAUUUGAGGCAAUACAUGAGAGAAUUUUGUUUUUUUAAUUAAGUUUUUUGAAAAUUGGUAUUCUUUUUUAUUUCUAUGUUUUUUUUUUCUAUAAAGUUAUCUUGAUAUUAUGUCUCAAGUAAUGGAUUCAACAGAUUUACCAAGUUUGCCUCAGGUUAUUAUUUCAUUUUUUUUUUAUCUCAAGUUAAUGAUCAAAAUCUUAAAUUUUUUUUAAAAUUGCAUCGUCAAUAGUGUUUUUACUUUUUUUUUUUUUUCUAAAUCUACAUUUCUUUCUCUAAUUUCAUACUUCAACAUUUAGUUUAUUGAAGACUGAGUUUAAUAAUUUAUUUUGGUUUAUUUUAUAUAUGGUUAGCUCAGUCUUUUUACAAUAAGUAAUAUACUAAAAGGCGUGGGGAAACUACUGUAGCUUUCCCACGCCUUUUACUUAUUUAAGCUUUUUUUUUUUUUUCAGUUUCUUUUUUUUUCUUUCUUCUUUUGGGAUUUUUUUUUGUUUUUGGUUUUUUUUUUCUGUAUCAGUUUUUCCUUUUGCUUUUGUUUUUGUUUUUUCUUAAUGUUUUUUCACUUUAGCAGUUUUUUUUUUUAACGUAUGGGUUUUCACUGUAGCAACUUUGUUUUUUUUUUUUUCCCUCGCUUUUGUUUCUUCUAUUUUUUACAUAUAAUGUAUCACUGUGCACACAGCGAAACACUUGAUUUUGUUUUCUUUUUUUUUUGUUUUGCCAAUUGGUUUUUUUUUUUUUGCUUUUUUCUUUGUGUUAUUUUUCUUUUAAUGAUUUUUUUUAAUUUAGUUUGUUAAUGUGAAAAAAAAAAAUUAAUUUAGUUAUCAUACUUUCAUUACACGGAUCUCGGUUUUUUAUAUAUAUUAAGCUGGUUGAGAACUUAGCUUUAUAGCUUUUUUAAAAAAGAAAAAAAAACAUUAUGGAUUACUACAGUGUUUCCCUUGCAUGAUUUUUGUUUGGCUGCAGUGUUUCCCCCACAUGUUUAUUUUUUAAAUUAUCUUUGUUAAAUUUAUUUUUUUAAUAUUGAGUUGGUUGAGAAUUUAGCUUUAGCUUUCCCCACGUUUUUUCAUUAUAAUAAUUAUUAUAUUGUAUUAUAUUAUAUGACUGUUUUUUUCUUUUGUUUUUUCUUUUUAAUUUUUUUUAAUGAAUUUUUUUUGUUUGAUUUAGUUUGUUAAUGUGAAAAUUUUUUUUAUUUAGUUUUCAUAUUUUCAUGAUACGAAUCUCGGGUUUGAUGGGUUAACCUGAUUUGACGAGUUAUUUUUUUCAUUUAGUUUAGUUUGUUAAAGUUAAUUUUCUUUCUAUUUAAUUAUCAGACUUUCAUGACACAUAUCCUGGGUUUGACGGGUUAACCUGAUUUGAUGGCUUGACACAUAUCUUUCUAUUUAUUUUUUUUCUUUGUUUUUUUUAAUUAAUCUAUUUAAUUAUCACACUUUUAUGACACGACCUUAUAGCCCGACCCACAUCCAAUAUUAUUGGGUCCGGUGUUACAGUCAUGCUCACUUAAACUUGGGUCAUGCAAGUUUAAUUUUAUUAUUAAUAUUAUAAAUAUUACUCUUAGGUCAGGUGUUGCAGUCAAACCCAAGAUUUUUGGGUAUAACUUUGCAGAAAAACCCAAGAUUUUUAAAAUUUUAUUUUUUUUAAUAUUUUUUAUACAAAAAAAAUGACUCGCGACAUCGCGCGGGUAUCAAAGCUAGUUAUAAACUAAAAGAGGUGGUAAAUUUACUAUUUACCGCCUCAUAAAACACUAUUCAUUUCAAUAAUUUUUUUUUAUUUUGUUUUUUGUUUUCUAAAUCUAUAUUUUUUCCCCUAAUUUCAUAUUUCAACAUUUAGUUUAUUGGAGUCAGAUUAAUAAUUUAUCAUAGUUUGCUUAUAUAUGGUUAGCUAAGCCUAAUAACUCGUAUUAUGGGUUUGACGAGUUAGAUCAAUUUUUUUUUGUCUUUUUAUAAUUGGUAUUUUUUAAUUUUAUCAUUCAAAAUUGGGUUGAUUAUGAAUUAUGCUUCAUGAUUUAUUUUAGUUUGCUUUUUAUGAGGUUAUUCUGAUUUUAUAACUUAUGUCGCGUGUGUUGCGAGUUAAGUCGUGUAGACUCAGGUCUUUUAUUGUAUAAUAUUUUUAUAUUAAUUUUUUUUUUCAAUUUUAACCUUUAACAAUAAAGUUUAUUGAAAAUUGAGAUUUAUAAUUUGUUUUGAUUUACGUUCUAUAAGAUUAUCACAAUUUCAUAAUCUUGAUUGCGGGUUUUGGAAGUUAAUCUUGGUUGAGACUCACACUAUUUUUUUGUUUACUUUCUAUGAAAAAUCAAAAUAGUUUAGUAAUCAAAGGGUGCAAAAUUGUUAACAUCCAUGUAGUUUAAUGGUAUAUUUUAAAAAAAAAAGUAAUUAUUUUGAAAGUUUUAUUAAAAGUUAAUUCAUGUUUUUACCAAUCAUUAAAAUUGUAUUUUGAUUCAUAAAAUCAAUGAAUUUAAUUUAAGCUAACUUUUACGUGAUUUAAUUAAAAACUUGAAUUAGAUAAAAAAAACUUAAUUACAAAAUUAACUUAUUAAACCAAUAAUAUAAUUUACCCUAUUGACGGCUACUCAUAUCAAAGGAUUUGCGAACUAACUUCAUGAUUUUUUUUAAAGUUCGAAAUUCAGUGAUCAAGUUAAAAUUAACAUUUUUUUAAAAAAUGCUUCUUUAAUAAAAUUAAUUAAUAUAAAUUGAUGCAAUAAUUCAAUAACCCAUGAAUUCAAAGUGUCUUUAUGAGUUUGAUAGUGUUUGAUUUUCAAAAUAUUUUUUGUUUGAAAAUACAUCAAAAUAAUAUAUAUUUUUUUAAAUAAGUUUUUACAUCAAAAUAAUAAAAAACAUAUUAAAAAAAUAUUAAUUUAAAAUAAAUAAAUAAAAUUUAAUUUUUUAAAAAAAUACUUGUAAAAUAUCUAAGUAAUCAUUCAAAUUAUUUUAUUUUCUUAAAAGAAAAAAAAAGUCGGGUGCGAGAGAACCUUUGUUAUUAAUAUCACAUGCAAACUUCUUAAAACAUUAUUGUAAUCAUUAUUGACCAUUAUAUUAUUGUCUUCGUGAAAAUGACAUCUUCUGACCAUUAUUAGAAGAACAGGAGAGUGUUUUUUUUUUUUUUUUGUAACUCGGGGUAUUCGGGCCAGCUUGCGCACACCACAACUAAUCCCCGGGCUCAUUGAACAUCCUGCAAGCCCAGUGAGCAUGUAAGGCACCACGGGGGUAACAGGCGUAUACAAGUGGAGCUUGAACCCUGGUGUGGAGGAAGGGAACAAGUCCCUUCAACCAUGUAUAUAAAAAACCAUGUAUAUAUAUAUAUAUAUAUAUAAAAAAAAAAAAACCCUCGUGCAGGUCUUUGAUUUCACACACGAGAGUUACUGAACAACAACCUUGUUGGUUACUAUAUCUAUUGGUUGUAAGGAGGAGAUAAGGUUGAACAAGUGGCGACAAUCUAUUGGCUUUUCGGACUACCUUAUCUCCAUGUCACAGGUCCUUUCUCUUAAUUUUUUUCUAAAUUUGAAACUGUAAUUUGUAAUUGUAAUUCCCAGCAUAGCGCAUAUGCGAGGGUAAUCACAACAACUCAUGAGAAAAACAACACCCUAUUAAAUCAAAUUAAAAAAAAAACAAUUUGAAGCAUCGAAGGGAGAAAUAGAAAAAAAUGGAAGGACUGAAAUGAAAUUUGUUGGAUGCUAUCAAUAGCCUUGUUCUUUUAGCUUUCUGUAUAAUGUAAUGGGCAGGUCUUAUUACUUGAGUGUGUGAUGCAAGAGAUAGUCAUUGCAGAUUUUAGUUGCCUAAGUUUGAUCCUUUGUGGAGUUCCUUGCAAGUCUCUUUUUUUUUCUCCUUAUUCAUAAUUUUCAAAAAAAAAAAAAAAAAAAACAUUGACCGAUCAUAGCUUUAGAUUAAUUAUUUGUGUUAUUGGAAGCGAUGAGGAGCUAGUAUCAUUCGUGCAGGUGUCAAAGUGAUCAUCAUCAGCCUUCCAUUCCUUUCUCUGUUUGCUAGGUGAGCACUUGUGCAUAUUAUUCUUAAUUUUAUUUGUUUGUCAUUAUCUUUAUAUUAUGCUUUUUAUCUUAAUUAUUUCAUAAAAUUGCAUUUUUAUGGGAAUUGCUGCUUUAAACUCGUAAGUGUAAACUAUUUUGUUUCAAUGUAUUCGUUAGAUCGGUGGUAUGCUAUCUUUCACUAAUGAAAUUCUGUUUGUUGGUUUUGAGAAGGAAAAAAAAAGUAUUUCUAUCUUUGUUUUAUGGAAAAAGCACAUAGAUCUAUGAACUAUAUAUAUAUAUAUAAAAAAACAUUGACCGAUCAUAGCUUUAGAUUAAUUAAAUGUGUUAUUGGAAGCGAUGAGGAGCUAGUAUCAUUCGUGCAGGUGUCAAAGUGAUCAUCAUCAACCUUCCAUACAGAGACUGGUGGAAAAUGGCUAUCGAAAGUGUUGGUGGAUCCGUUGUAUCCAAGAUAGCAGAGCUCUUGGUGGAACCAGCAAUAAGGCAGUUCCGUUACAUGUUCUACUUCAACAAUUUUGUUCAAGAAUUCAAUGAACAAAAGAAGAAACUGACUUUGACACUAGAUCGUCUACAAAAUGAUGUCAAAGUUGCUGAAAGGAAUGCUGAAGAAAUUUACAAAGAUGUCAGUAAAUGGCUGGAAGAUGCAAACAACGAAAUUGAAGGUGUGAAUCCUUUGGAAAAUGAAAUAGGAAAAAAUGGCAGUUGCUUUACUUGGUGUCCAAAUUGGAUGCGACAAUUCAAGUUAAGCAAGGCACUGGCAAAGAAGACAGCGACUUUGAGAAAACUUGAAGAAAAUAGCAGAAAGUUUCCAAAAGUGUCCCACAAAGCACCUCUUCAAGAGAUAAAAUUUCUUCCAUCAAAGGGAUUCAUGCUCUCAAAAUCGUCAGAAGAAGCUUUCGAACAGAUUAUGAAAGCUCUCAAAGAUGACAAGGUCAAUAUGAUCAGACUGUACGGCAUGGGAGGGGUGGGUAAAACCACCCUGGUGAAAGAAGUAGCCAGGAGGGCCAAAGAGUUGCAGUUGUUUGAUGAAGUUUUGAUGGCUACGGUGUCCCAGAAUCCAAAUGUCACAGACAUCCAGGAUCAAAUGGCAGAUAGUUUAGAUCUGAAAUUUGUCAAGGAGAGAAAUUUGUUUUUUUCUUUUCCCCACUCUCUUACUCGAUUUUCGCAUUAAAAAUCAAAUUAGUCUAUAAAGUUUAUUGUACUUAUGAUUUCAUCCCUAUUCUCUUUAUUAUAAUUUUUUAAAUUUAGAAUACUUUAUGAAAUUAUGUGGUUUUUGCAAUUUCAUCCUUAUUCUCUUUGUUGCUUUUUUUUAUUAUUUAUUUAGAAUAGUCUACUAAAUUAAGAAUUGUUUUCAAUUUCAGAUGGUUUUUACAAUUUUUUUUUAAUUUCAUCAUUUUUUAGUUUUUUUUCUGUUAAAUCUAAUCCUUUUUUUUAUUAUUGUAUUUUUUUGACCUUGCAAGAUUUUUUUAGAUUGAUUUUUUUAUUAUGUCAUCCUCCAACAUUUAAUUAGCUGGGUCUUUAGCUUCUUAGUUGAGUCCGGGUCUAAAAUUUAACGGUUUAUUGGUUUAAGCGAUUGACCCUAGUUUCUUUUUUUUUUUUUUCCUUUUUUUUCCAUCCUCCAGCAUUUUGUUAUUUUUUAAUUCACUUUAUAUGGUAUUUUGUUUAGUCUUUUUUAAAAUAAUGCAGGUUGGCUUGGUUUUUUUUUUUUUUUUGUCUUUGUUGAAUUUAGUUUUUAUGAAGGAAUUUUAUUUUUCAAUUGAAUUAAAUUGAUUAAUUUCAUCUUCCAACAUUUAAUUGUUUAGGUGUUGAGCUCGUGUUUUGAGGUUGGGUCAAGAAUUUAAUGGAUUGCGGGUUUAAGAGUUUAACUCGAUUUUAUAGGGUUCACUCGGGUUUCUUUGGUGUUUUGUUUCUUUUUUUUAAUCUCUUUUCUUUUUUUCAUAUUUCAACUUAUAACAUUCUUUUUUUAUUCUCUUUCUACAAGAUUUAUCUUUUUGUUUAAAAUAGCAAGGUUGCCUUAAAGUUUUUUUCUUUCUAUCUUUGUUAAAUUUUGCUUCUUUAAAAGGAUUUUUUUAAUUAAAUUAAUUUUUUUAAUUUCAUCCUCUUGCAUUUAAUUUGAGGCAAUACAUGAGAGAAUUUUGUUUUUUUAAUUAAUUUUUUUGAAAAUUGGUAUUUUGUUUCUACUUUUUUUUUUCUAUAGAGUUAUCAUGAUAUUAUGUCUCAAGUCAUCGAUUCAAUAGAUUUACCAAGUUUGACUUAGGUUUACAUGUAAAAGUUAUCUUACAAUACUUUUAACGAAAUAUAUUUUUUUUAAAAAAAAACAGCAACUAAAAGUAUUUUUGUUAAACCUAUUUUUUCAAAUCGCAACCAUAAAAGCUAUCAUUAUUGUAUGUUUGGUUAAGUGGUGUAAAAUGCUUUUACAAAAAUAUUUUUCAAUUAAAAAUGUAUUAAAAUAUUUUUUUUCAAUUAAAAAAAAACACUUCAAAAUCAUUAAAAAAUACUUAAAAAUUAAAUUAACAAUAUUAAUUUAAUAUUUUUUAAAAUUAAAUACAUUUUCAAAAGUAAUUAAUUUAAAUAAAAAAACUUAAAUUAACAAUGUUUUCCUUUAUAUUAUACUAUAUACUAAAAAAUAUCAACCUUUCACAUGGAUUCACAUAGUGAAAGGCUAAAUGCUGAUUUUACCUUUUAGUGGGCAAAGUAGCAUGCCUUGAAUUUAGAGAUAUAAUGGUCUUUUUCAUGGGACACAUUGAUCAUUAUUUGAAAGGGUAGGGCUAAACGAUCUUUUUGUAUUUUCUUUGCACAAUGUGAUUAUUUAAUUACCCUUGGAGAGCAAAUAAAAUCGCUUGGGUCUAGGGACUUUUUAGUCUUUGACUUGAUUUUUCAACAAGUAUAUUACUUCAUUGUCAUUGGAAAUUUAAAACAAUUAUACAACUCUGAGGCUCUUUUAUCAUUUAGAUGUGGUUAUUUAGAAGUUAUUGGGUGUCAUGGGAGACAAUAAGAUAAUUUGGUAAAUAAGAAAAUUAAAUUAAAAAAAUAUAGAAUCAAGUGAACAAUGUUUGCCACCUUCGAACGGUGUGUGCGACGUCAUCUGAUACCCAAAAUGGUGAUUCCAGGGAGGCUUUUGAAGGAUCUCAAUGUCCCCCUACGAAUCAACGACACGUGUAGCACUAUAGCAAUUGGUGUGAUGCGUGUGGCCUUUUGUUUGUUUUUAUUUUCCCUUCUCUCCUACUCAAUUUUCAUGUUGGGGUUAAAAAAUCAAAUCAGUCCCUAAAGUUUAUUGUACUUAUGAUUUCAUCCUUAUUCUCUUUAUUAUAAUUUUUUAAAUUUAGAAUACUUUAUGAAAUUAUGUGGUUUUUAAUUUCAUCAUUGUUCUCUUUGUUGCCUUUUUUUAUUUAUUUAGAAUAGUCUACUAAAUUAAGAAUUGUUUUCAAUUUUAGAUGGUUUUCACAAUUUUGUUUAGACCUUGCAAGAUUUUUUUAGAUUGAUUUUUUUAUUAUGUCAUCCUCCAACAUUUAAUUAUCCAGGUUUUUAGCUUCUUAGUUGAGAUCGGGUCUAAACUUUAAUGGUUUGUUGGUUUAAGAGAUUGACCCUGGUUUCUUUGUUUUUUUUUUCCAUCCUCCAACAUUUUGUUAUUUUUUAAUUCAUUUUAUAUGGUAUUUUUUAGUCUUUUUGAAAAUAACAUAGGUUGCUUUGGUUUUUUUUUUUUAUUUUGUCUUUGUUGAAUUUAGUUUUUAUGAAGGAAUUUUAUUUUUAAAUUGAAUUAAAUUGAUUGAUUUCAUCUUCCAACAUUUAUUUUUUUAAGUGUUGAGCUCUUGCGUUGAGCCCGAGUCAAGAAUUUAAUGGAUUGCGAGUCUGAGAGUUUAACCCGAGUUUAUAGGAUUCACUCGGGCUUUUUUGGUGUUUUGUUUCUUUUUAAAGCUCUUUUUUUUCAUAUUUCAACCUCUAACAUUCUUUUUUACUCUUUUUCUAUAUGAUUUAUCUUUCUUUUUAAAAUAACAAGGGUUGCCUCAAAGUUUUUUAUUUUCGAUCUUCGUUAAAUUUUGCUUCUUUAAAAGGAAUUUUUUUUAAUUUAAUUUAAUUUUUUUUUAUUUCAUCCUCUUGCAUUUAAUUUGAGGCAAUACAUGAGAGAAUUUUGCUUUUUUAAUUAAGGUUUUUGAAAAUUAGUAUUUGUUUUUCUACUUUUUUUUUUCUAUAGAGUUAUUUUGAUAUUAUGUCUCAAGUCAUGGAUUCAAUAUAUUUACAAAGUUUGACUCAGGUUUUUUAUUUUUUUCAUUUCUUUUUAUUUUUUUUUAUCUUGAGUCAAUGAUCAAAAUCUUAAAUUUUUUAAAAAAAUUGCAUCGUCAAUAGUGUUUUUUUUUCCUUCUAAAUCUAUAUUUCUUUCUCUACUUUCAUACUUCAAUAUUUUUCUGUACAUUGAUUGGUUGGUUGGUUGAAUGGUACAGUCCUCAUUUUCAUUUACUGUUGGAAAUACACAAAAAAAAUCCCUUUCAAGUUUUAAGUUACAAAACGACGUGCAGCUCAAUCAAUGCCUUCAUUGCCUACCGCCUUCAAAAAAUCAACUCCUUAGUUAGUUUCGUCCUUGUCUCGCGUAGAACGACAUCCACUUUAAAUGACAGCCACAGGAGAUGUUUGACUUCAAGUUUUAAUUCAAGAAUUAAUAUGUGAACAAAUUACAAGAAUUAAUAUGUAAUAAGUUAAGUAGAUGGUGCUAAUAUAUCAAGAUGACUAGUAAAUAAAUAUCUAUAAAAGGUUUUGUUUGAUAAGUAAAAGGAUUUUUAAAUGUUUAAAUACAGAGAAAAUAUAAUAAUAUUUUAGAGAAAUAAAUUUUAAAAAUAUAUAUAUAUAAAAUAAAAACUCGGUGCAGGUCUUUGAUUGCACACACGAGAGUUACUGAUCAACAACCUUGAUGGUUACUAUCAAUUGGUUGAAAGGAUGAGAUAAGGUCGAACGAGUGGCGACAAUCUAUUGGCUUCUCGGAUUACCUUAUCUCCAUGUCACAGGUCCUUUCUCUUAAUUGUUUUCUAAUUUUGAAACUGUAAUUUGUAAUUGUAAUUUCCCAGCAUAGCGCAUAUGCGAGGGUAAUCACAACAACUCAAGAGAAAAACAACACCCUAUUAAAUCAAAUUAAAAAAAAAAACAAUUUGAAGCAUCGAAGGGUGAAAUAGAAAAAAAUAAAAGGACUGAAAUGAAAUAAAUCCUUGGUGGAUGCUAUCAAUAGCCUUUUUAGCUUUCUGUAUAAUGUAAUGGGCAGGUCUUAUUACUUGAGUGUGUGAUGCAAGAGAUAGUCAUUGCAGAUUUUAGUUGCCUAAGUUUGAUCCUUUGUGGAGUUCCUUGCAAGUCUCUUUUUUUUUUCUCCUUACUCAUAAUUAAAAAAAAAAAAAAACAUUUGCCGAUCAUAGCUUUAGAUUAAUUAUAUGUGUUAUUGGAAGCGAAGAGGAGCUAGUAUCAUUCGUGCAGGUGUCAAAGUGAUCUUCAUCAGCCUUCCAUUCCUUUCUCUCUUUGCUAGGUGAGUACUUGUACAUAUUAUUCUUUUAUUUAUUUGUCAUUAUCUUUAUAUUAUGCUUUUUAUCUUAAUUAUGUCAAAAAUUUGCAUUUGUGGGAAUUGCUGCUUUAAACUCAUAAGUGUAAACAAUUUUGUUUCAAUGUAUUCGUUAGAUCGAUGGUAUGCUAUCUUUCACUAAUGAAAUUCUUUUUAUUGGUUUUGAGAAGAAGAAAAAAGUAUUUCUAUCUUUGUUUUAUGGAAAAGCACAUAGAUCUAUGAACUAGAUAUAAAAAAAGAAAGGAUAGAUAUUCCCAUUACUUAAUAAUCGAGGAAAUGAGUGUUUAAAAUUAAGAUAAUAAAAUUGAAACCAAAUCAGCUUCAUUAGAUAAAGCUGUUGUGUAAAUAAGUGUGACUUUUACUCGUGACAUAGACAGAGAUAGUCAUUACAGAUCCUUUGUUGAGUUCGUUCCAUUAAUUAUGUCAUCAAAUUGCAUUUUUUUUAUGGGAAUUGCUACUCUAACUCGUUAAGUUAGAAUCCAUGUAAACUAUUUUGUUUUAAUACUUCUCCUCUUUUCAACAUAAAGUCGUUCUUUUAUAAAUAUAUUCAUUAGAUUGAUGAUAUGCUAUCUUUUCUUUUUAUUGGUUUUGAGAAAAAAAAAAGUAUUUCUAUCUUUUUUAUGGAAAAGCACAGAGAUCUAAGAACUAUUGUGUAAAUAAUUGUUAGGGUAAGUGUGAAUUUUAACACAUGGCAUGGAUAGCUAUUGAUGAGGGGACAAAGGGAUUACAAUGAUCUAUGAACUAUUGUGUAAAUAAUUGUUAUGUUAGGACAAGGAAUUAAAUGUUUAUCGUUCUACUUAUACCUUGCCUUGUUGCUCUUGAAGCUGGCUUCCAUACAGAGCUAAAGGCCUUCUCCUUUUGUUCCUCUCGCUAUAUUUUAUUAUUGAGCAGUCAGUACCAGUGCUUUCCGCAUAUAUUUUCACAAAUUAAGGUAAUAAAAUUACUAUUCUCAUUCUCUCAAUGCCUAUUUUACUUGUAAUGACUCACUCUCACGUUCUGUAUCCUUAUUUCUUUGAUUUUCAGACCGGUGGAAAAUGGAUAUCAUAAGUGCUGCUAUAUCCAAGAUAGCAGAUCUCUUGGUGGAACCAGUAGGAAGGCAGUUCCGUUACAUGUUCUGUUUCAACAAUUUUGUUCAAGAAUUCAAUGAACAAAAGAAGAACCUGGCUUUAACACUAGAUCGUCUACAAAAUGAUGUCAGAGAUGCUGAAAGGAAUGCUGAAGAAAUUUACAAAGAUGUCAGUAAAUGGCUGGAAGAUGCAAACAGCGAAAUUGAAGGUGUGAAUUCUUUGCAAAAUGAAAAAAAAAUGGCAAAUGCUUUACUUGGUGUCCAAAUUGGCGACAAUUCAAGUUAAGCAAGGCACUGGCAAAGAAGACGGAGACUUUGAGAAAACUUGAAGAAAAUAGCAGAAAGUUUCCAAAAGUGUCCCACAAAGCACCUCUUCAAGACAUAGAAUUUCUUCCAUCAAGGGAUUCACACCCUCAGAAUCGUCAAAAGAAGCUUUCGAACAGAUUAUGAAAGCUCUCAAAGAUGACAAGUCAAUAUGAUCGGACUGGUACGGCAUGGGAGGGGUGGGUAAAACCACCCUGGUGAAAGAAGUGGGCAGGAGAGCCAAAGAGUUGCAGCUGUUUGAUGAAGUUUUGAUGGCUACGGUGUCCCAGAAUCCAAAUGUCACAGACAUCCAGGAUCAAAUGGCAGAUUUUAGGUCUGAUUUGACGAAAAGAGUAAAAAGGGAGAGCAGUCGUUAUGGCAGAGACUGCAGGGAAAGAAGAUGCUUAUAAUCCUGGAUGAUGUUUGGAAAGAUAUUGACUUGAAAGAGAUAGGGAUCCCAUUUGGUGAUGCUCACAGGGGUUGUAAAAUUCUUCUAACAACACGUCUUGAAAACAUAUGCUCUUCUAUGGAUUGCCAGGAAAAAGUGUUUUUAAGAGUCCUAUCUGAAAAUGAAGCAUGGGCUUUAUUCAAAAUCAAUGCAGGUUUACGUGAUGAGGACUCUGACUUGAACAGAGUGGCAAAGGAGGUUGCGAGAGAAUGCCAAGGCUUGCCUAUAGCACUUGUGGCAGUGGGAAAGGCUCUAAAAGAUAAAUCUGAACAUGAGUGGGAAGUAGCAUCUAAGAGCUCAAAAAAUCUCAAUCUCGGCACAUGGAAACAUUUGAUGAACGAAGAAAUGCAUAUGCAUGUCUUAAGUUGAGCUAUGAUUAUUUGAAGCACGAGAAAACCAAGUUAUGUUUCUUGCUAUGCUGUUUAUUUCCAGAAGAUUACAACAUUCCAAUUGAGGACUUGACGAGAUACGCAGUUGGCUACGGGUUAUAUCAAGAUGUGGAGUCCAUUGAAGGUGCAAGGAAACGAGUUUAUGUGGAAAUCGAAAACCUCAAAGCUUGUUGUAUGCUGUUAGGAACUGAAACUGAAGAAUAUGUGAAAAUGCAUGACUUGGUUCGUGAUGUUGCUAUUCAGAUAGCAUCAUCAGAAAAAUACGGAUUCAUGGUAAAGGCUGGCUUUGGGUUGAAGGAGUGGCCAACGAGCAAUAAAAGCUUUGAAGGUUGUACAGUAAUCUCGUUAAUGGGCAAUAAACUAGCAGAACUUCCUGAAGGAUUGGUGUGUCCACAGCUCAAAGUUCUAUUAUUAGAACUGGAUCGUGGUUUGAAUGUUCCAGAGAGGUUUUUUGAAGGGAUGAAAGCAAUAGAAGUUUUGUCUCUAAAGGGAGGGUGUUUGUCAUUGCAAUCACUUCAAUUCUCAACGAACCUUCAAUCGUUGCUGUUGAUGAAGUGUAAUGCAAGGACCUCAUUUGGUUGAGAAAGCUGCAAAGACUUAAGAUUCUUGUUUUCAGGUGGUGCGACUCCGUUGAAGAAUUACCUGAUGAAAUUGGGGAGCUCAAGGAGUUAAGGUUGUUGGAUUUGACAGGUUGUCAAAAUCUAAGAAGGAUUCCUGUGAAUUUGAUAGGAAGGUUGAAGAAGUUAGAAGAACUGUUGAUCGGGGAUCGGAGCUUCAAGGGAUGGGAUGUUGUUGGAUGUGACAGCACAGAAGGAAUGAAUGCAAGCCUAACAGAACUAAGUUCGCUGUCUCAUUUAGCUGUAUUAUCAUUGUGGAUACCGAAGGUUGAAUGCAUUCCCAGCGAUUUUGUUUUUCCCAGCUUGCUCAAAUAUGAUAUAGUGUUAGGGUAUUCAC
RNAcentral lists this long non-coding RNA (38303 nucleotides) under Populus tremula. Its description in RNAcentral is "long non-coding RNA (PTRE_LNC000354)". Lineage: Eukaryota; Viridiplantae; Streptophyta; Magnoliopsida; Malpighiales; Salicaceae. The record is from RNAcentral.